ACAUCCGUAGUCUAACUGGAUAAAACCAUGGCCUCCGACGCCAUAGUUGUGAGUUCGAGCCUCGCCGGGUGUACCA
Molecule: transfer RNA, 76 nt
Filed under: Clostridia bacterium
Lineage: Bacteria; Bacillati; Bacillota; Clostridia
Description: tRNA-Arg
Rfam family: tRNA
About the family: Transfer RNA (tRNA) molecules are approximately 80 nucleotides in length. Their secondary structure includes four short double-helical elements and three loops (D, anti-codon, and T loops). Further hydrogen bonds mediate the characteristic L-shaped molecular structure. tRNAs have two regions of fundamental functional importance: the anti-codon, which is responsible for specific mRNA codon recognition, and the 3' end, to which the tRNAs corresponding amino acid is attached (by aminoacyl-tRNA synthetases). tRNAs cope with the degeneracy of the genetic code in two manners: having more than one tRNA (with a specific anti-codon) for a particular amino acid; and 'wobble' base-pairing, i.e. permitting non-standard base-pairing at the 3rd anti-codon position.
Source: RNAcentral